Molecule: ribosomal RNA, 540 nt
Filed under: uncultured bacterium
Lineage: Bacteria
Description: bacterial SSU rRNA
Rfam family: Bacterial small subunit ribosomal RNA
Source: RNAcentral
UUAGAGUUUGAUCCUGGCUCAGAGCGAACGCUGGCGGCAGGCCUAACACAUGCAAGUCGAACGCCCGUAGCAAUACGGGAGUGGCAGACGGGUGAGUAACGCGUGGGAACGUGCCCUUCGGUUCGGAAUAACCCAGGGAAACUUGGGCUAAUACCGGAUACGUCCGCAAGGAGAAAGAUUUAUCGCCGAAGGAUCGGCCCGCGUCCGAUUAGCUAGUUGGUGAGGUAACGGCUCACCAAGGCGACGAUCGGUAGCUGGUCUGAGAGGAUGAUCAGCCACACUGGGACUGAGACACGGCCCAGACUCCUACGGGAGGCAGCAGUGGGGAAUAUUGGACAAUGGGCGCAAGCCUGAUCCAGCCAUGCCGCGUGGGUGAUGAAGGCCCUAGGGUUGUAAAGCCCUUUCGGCGGGGAAGAUAAUGACGGUACCCGCAGAAGAAGCCCCGGCUAACUUCGUGCCAGCAGCCGCGGUAAUACGAAGGGGGCUAGCGUUGCUCGGAAUCACUGGGCGUAAAGCGCACGUAGGCGGCUUCUUAAGUCA